Molecule: long non-coding RNA, 993 nt
Organism: Oncorhynchus keta (chum salmon)
Lineage: Eukaryota; Metazoa; Chordata; Actinopteri; Salmoniformes; Salmonidae
Exons: 2
Source: RefSeq, a predicted model, not a curated record
UUUUUGUCAAUUACACAUGUGUAAGAACUGUAUGAAUAUACUUUUGUCCAAUUUUAUUAUCAUAAUUUUUUUUUUUUUUUACAUGCGCAUAAGGAAUAUGUUUUGUCCAAUUCCAAUAUGAUUUCAUAGGAAGUCAAAAGUCAAAAGUCAAAAAUGUCAAAAUUUUGUAAAAACUUCACACACCCUUAAAAAGUGCUUUCUGGACCGUUUUUUGAAAUUCUUUCAAUUUUUUUGUCAAUUACACAUGUGUAAGAACUGUAUGAAUAUACUUUUGUCCAAUUUUAUUAUCAUAUUUUUUUAUAUAUUUUUUUUAAUUGUGCAUAAGGAUUUUUUUUGUGGGCCAAAUGACGUAAGAAAUUUGACAUGCUCAAAAAUCCUGCAGAAAUGCAAAAUUGACUGGCCUGAUGAACUCGGGAUGGCCGGGCAGUGAUAGUUGUUCCUUUCCAUCACUCGUUGUGUUGACUUCAUCAUGUCCAUUUUGUGAUGUUUUUUCACUAUAUAAUCAUAUUGCAAGUGCACGUGCAUUUGCAAUAUGUUUCAAUGUGCAUUUACCAUAUGAAAUUUGACCUUGCUCAAAAAUGCAAAAUUGACUGGUCUGAUGAACACAGGAUGAGCAGUGAUAGUUGUACAUUUCCAUCACUCGUUGUGUUGAUUUCAUCAUCUCCGUUAGGUGAUGUUUUUACACUAUAGAAUCAUAUUGCAAAUGCACGUGCAUUGUUGUGCAACUGGUAACCCAAAAAUAAAAAUAUGGUUGUAAAUGCAUUUACCGGUCAUUCUGAUAUUAAUGCUCGCUAUGGGAACACAGGAUGGCCGGGCAGUGAUAGUUGUACAUUUCCAUCACUCGUUGUGUUGAUUUCAUCAUGUCCAUUAGGUGAUGUUUUUUCACUAUAGAAUCAUAUUGCAAGUGCGCGCGCAUUUGCAAUAUGUUUCAAUGUGCAUUUACCAUAUGAAAUUUGACAUGCUCAAAAAUGCAAAAUUGACUGGUCUGAUGAA